AACGAACGCUGGCGGCAUGCCUAACACAUGCAAGUCGAACGAGACCUUCGGGUCUAGUGGCGCGCGGGUGCGUAAAGCGUGGGAACCUGCCCUUAGGCUCGGAAUAACGUCCCGAAAGGGGUGCUAAUACCGGAUAAUGUCCUCGGAACAAAGAUUGAUCGCCUUUGGAUGGGCCCGCGUUGGAUUACCUAGUUGGGAGGGUAAAAGCCUAUCAAGGCGACGAUCCAUAGCUGGUCUGUGAGGAUAAUCACCCACUCUGGUACGGGGAAACGGCCCAGACUUCUACAGGAGGGAGCAGUGGGGAAUACUGGACUACCGGGGAAAGCAAGAACCACCAAGGCCGCUUGAGUGAUUAAGGUCUUAGGGUUGUAAACCUCUCUUACCCGGCAUGAUAAUGACAGUACCGGGAGAAUAAGCUCCGGCUAACUCCGUG
RNAcentral lists this ribosomal RNA (433 nucleotides) under uncultured bacterium. RNAcentral's name for it is "partial 16S ribosomal RNA". It matches the Rfam family "Bacterial small subunit ribosomal RNA", at positions 29 to 507 of the family's 1533-position model. The record is from RNAcentral.